Molecule: unclassified non-coding RNA, 241 nt
Filed under: air metagenome
Description: partial contains small subunit ribosomal RNA, internal transcribed spacer 1, and 5.8S ribosomal RNA
Rfam family: Eukaryotic small subunit ribosomal RNA (bases 1-46)
Source: RNAcentral
AAGUCGUAACAAGGUCUCCGUUGGUGAACCAGCGGAGGGAUCAUUACAGAGUUGCAAAACUCCCAAACCAUUUGUGUAUCUACCUGUUUCGUUGCUUCGGCAGGCGGCCCCUGGGAGGGGCCUCUAGGCCUCGCGAGAGGUGCCUGCCGGAGGUUCCAAAACUCAACUGUUAGUUAAUGUUCUGUCUGAGUAAAACUUAUAUAAUAAGUCAAAACUUUCAACAACGGAUCUCUUGGUUCUG